This 780-nucleotide ribosomal RNA is filed under the name Bacillus subtilis. RNAcentral describes it as "bacterial SSU rRNA". It matches the Rfam family "Bacterial small subunit ribosomal RNA", at positions 127 to 890 of the family's 1533-position model. Lineage: Bacteria; Bacillati; Bacillota; Bacilli; Caryophanales; Bacillaceae. The record is from RNAcentral.
UGCCUGUAAGACUGGGAUAACUCCGGGAAACCGGGGCUAAUACCGGAUGGUUGUUUGAACCGCAUGGUUCAAACAUAAAAGGUGGCUUCGGCUACCACUUACAGAUGGACCCGCGGCGCAUUAGCUAGUUGGUGAGGUAACGGCUCACCAAGGCAACGAUGCGUAGCCGACCUGAGAGGGUGAUCGGCCACACUGGGACUGAGACACGGCCCAGACUCCUACGGGAGGCAGCAGUAGGGAAUCUUCCGCAAUGGACGAAAGUCUGACGGAGCAACGCCGCGUGAGUGAUGAAGGUUUUCGGAUCGUAAAGCUCUGUUGUUAGGGAAGAACAAGUACCGUUCGAAUAGGGCGGUACCUUGACGGUACCUAACCAGAAAGCCACGGCUAACUACGUGCCAGCAGCCGCGGUAAUACGUAGGUGGCAAGCGUUGUCCGGAAUUAUUGGGCGUAAAGGGCUCGCAGGCGGUUUCUUAAGUCUGAUGUGAAAGCCCCCGGCUCAACCGGGGAGGGUCAUUGGAAACUGGGGAACUUGAGUGCAGAAGAGGAGAGUGGAAUUCCACGUGUAGCGGUGAAAUGCGUAGAGAUGUGGAGGAACACCAGUGGCGAAGGCGACUCUCUGGUCUGUAACUGACGCUGAGGAGCGAAAGCGUGGGGAGCGAAACAGGAUUAGAUACCCUGGUAGUCCACGCCGUAAACGAUGAGUGCUAAGUGUUAGGGGGUUUCCGCCCCUUAGUGCUGCAGCUAACGCAUUAAGCACUCCGCCUGGGGAGUACGGUCGCA